UCAGGAUGAACGCUAGCUACAGGCUUAACACAUGCAAGUCGAGGGGCAUCAGGAAGAAAGCUUGCUUUCUUUGCUGGCGACCGGCGCACGGGUGAGUAACACGUAUCCAACCUGCCCUUUACUCGGGGAUAGCCUUUCGAAAGAAAGAUUAAUACCCGAUAGCAUAAUGAUUCCGCAUGGUUUCAUUAUUAAAGGAUUCCGGUAAAGGAUGGGGAUGCGUUCCAUUACGUUGUUGGUGAGGUAACGGCCCACCAAGCCUUCGAUGGAUAGGGGUUCUGAGAGGAAGGUCCCCCACAUUGGAACUGAGACACGGUCCAAACUCCUACGGGAGGCAGCAGUGAGGAAUAUUGGUCAAUGGGCGCUAGCCUGAACCAGCCAAGUAGCGUGAAGGAUGAAGGCUCUAUGGGUCGUAAACUUCUUUUAUAUAAGAAUAAAGUGCAGUAUGUAUACUGUUUUGUAUGUAUUAUAUGAAUAAGGAUCGGCUAACUCCGUGCCAGCAGCCGCGGUAAUACGGAGGAUCCGAGCGUUAUCCGGAUUUAUUGGGUUUAAAGGGAGCGUAGGUGGACUGGUAAGUCAGUUGUGAAAGUUUGCGGCUCAACCGUAAAAUUGCAGUUGAUACUGUCAGUCUUGAGUACAGUAGAGGUGGGCGGAAUUCGUGGUGUAGCGGUGAAAUGCUUAGAUAUCACGAAGAACUCCGAUUGCGAAGGCAGCUCACUGGACUGCAACUGACACUGAUGCUCGAAAGUGUGGGUAUCAAACAGGAUUAGAUACCCUGGUAGUCCACACAGUAAACGAUGAAUACUCGCUGUUUGCGAUAUACAGUAAGCGGCCAAGCGAAAGCAUUAAGUAUUCCACCUGGGGAGUACGCCGGCAACGGUGAAACUCAAAGGAAUUGACGGGGGCCCGCACAAGCGGAGGAACAUGUGGUUUAAUUCGAUGAUACGCGAGGAACCUUACCCGGGCUUAAAUUGCAGUGGAAUGAUGUGGAAACAUGUCAGUGAGCAAUCACCGCUGUGAAGGUGCUGCAUGGUUGUCGUCAGCUCGUGCCGUGAGGUGUCGGCUUAAGUGCCAUAACGAGCGCAACCCUUAUCUUCAGUUACUAACAGGUCAUGCUGAGGACUCUGGAGAGACUGCCGUCGUAAGAUGUGAGGAAGGUGGGGAUGACGUCAAAUCAGCACGGCCCUUACGUCCGGGGCUACACACGUGUUACAAUGGGGGGUACAGAAGGCAGCUAGCGGGUGACCGUAUGCUAAUCCCAAAAGCCUCUCUCAGUUCGGAUCGAAGUCUGCAACCCGACUUCGUGAAGCUGGAUUCGCUAGUAAUCGCGCAUCAGCCACGGCGCGGUGAAUACGUUCCCGGGCCUUGUACACACCGCCCGUCAAGCCAUGGGAGCCGGGGGUACCUGAAGUACGUAACCGCAAGGAUCGUCCUAGGGUAAAACUGGUG
Molecule: ribosomal RNA, 1446 nt
Filed under: uncultured organism
Description: SSU rRNA
Rfam family: Bacterial small subunit ribosomal RNA
Source: RNAcentral